This 738-nucleotide ribosomal RNA is filed under the name uncultured bacterium. Its description in RNAcentral is "bacterial SSU rRNA". It matches the Rfam family "Bacterial small subunit ribosomal RNA", at positions 30 to 761 of the family's 1533-position model. The record is from RNAcentral.
UGAACGCUGGCGGCAUGCUUUACACAUGCAAGUCGAACGGCAGCACGGGGGCAACCCUGGUGGCGAGUGGCGAACGGGUGAGUAAUAUAUCGGAACGUACCCAAGAGUGGGGGAUAACGUAGCGAAAGUUACGCUAAUACCGCAUACGAUCUACGGAUGAAAGUGGGGGAUUCGCAAGAACCUCAUGCUCGUGGAGCGGCCGAUAUCUGAUUAGCUAGUUGGUAGGGUAAAAGCCUACCAAGGCAUCGAUCAGUAGCUGGUCUGAGAGGACGACCAGCCACACUGGGACUGAGACACGGCCCAGACUCCUACGGGAGGCAGCAGUGGGGAAUUUUGGACAAUGGGCGCAAGCCUGAUCCAGCAAUGCCGCGUGAGUGAAGAAGGCCUUCGGGUUGUAAAGCUCUUUUGUCAGGGAAGAAACGGUGGGAGCUAAUAUCUCCCACUAAUGACGGUACCUGAAGAAUAAGCACCGGCUAACUACGUGCCAGCAGCCGCGGUAAUACGUAGGGUGCAAGCGUUAAUCGGAAUUACUGGGCGUAAAGCGUGCGCAGGCGGUUGUGCAAGACAGAUGUGAAAUCCCCGGGCUCAACCUGGGAAUUGCAUUUGUGACUGUACGGCUAGAGUGUGUCAGAGGGGGGUAGAAUUCCACGUGUAGCAGUGAAAUGCGUAGAGAUGUGGAGGAAUACCGAUGGCGAAGGCAGCCCCCUGGGAUAACACUGACGCUCAUGCACGAAAGCG